CCUACGGGGUGCAGCAGUGAGGAAUAUUGGUCAAUGGGCGAGAGCCUGAACCAGCCAAGUCGCGUGAAUGAUGAAGGAUCUAUGGUUGGUAAACUUCUUUUAUAUGGUAAUAAAGUGAGAAACGUGUUCCUUUUUGUAUGUACCAUAUGAAUAAGCAUCGGCUCACUCCGUGCCAGCAGCCGCGGUAAUACGGAGGAUGCGAGCGUUAUACGGAUUUAUUGGGUUUAAAGGGAGCGGAGGUGGUUAAUUAAGUCAGCGGUGAAAGUUAGUGGCUCAACCAGAGAAGUGCCGUUGAAACUGGUUGACUUGAGUAUAUUUGAGGUAGGCGGAAUGCGUGGUGUAGCGGUGAAAUGCAUAGAUAUCACGCAGAAUUCCGAUUGCGAAGGCAGCUUACUAAACUAUAACUGACACUGAAGCACGAAAGCGUGGGGAGCAAACAGGAUUAGAUACCCGGGUAGUC
This 460-nucleotide ribosomal RNA is filed under the name uncultured bacterium. RNAcentral describes it as "partial 16S ribosomal RNA". It matches the Rfam family "Bacterial small subunit ribosomal RNA", at positions 338 to 795 of the family's 1533-position model. The record is from RNAcentral.